UUGUAGCCUGCUAUGGUAUAACUUAGUGGCAGACGGGUGAGUAAUGUAUAGGAAUCUACCUAGUAGUACGGAAUAAUUGUUGGAAACGACAACUAAUACCGUAUACGCCCUACGGGGGAAAAAUUUAUUGCUAUUAGAUGAGCCUAUAUUAGAUUAGCUAGUUGGUGGGGUAAUAGCCUACCAAGGUAAUGAUCUAUAGCUGAUCUGAGAGGAUGAUCAGCCACACUGGAACUGAGAUACGGUCCAGACUCCUACGGGAGGCAGCAGUGGGGAAUAUUGGACAAUGGGCGAAACGUGAUCCAGCCAUGCCGCAUGAGUGAAGAAGGCCUUUGGGUUGUAAAGCUCUUUUAGUGAGGAAGAUAAUGACGGUACUCACAGAAGAAGUCCUGGCUAACUCCGUGCCAGCAGCCGCGGUAAUACGGAGAGGGCUAGCGUUAUUCGGAAUUAUUGGGCGUAAAGGGCGCGUAGGCUGGUUAAUAAGUUAAAAGUUAAAAGUGAAAUCCCGAGGCUUAACCUUGGAAUUGCUUUUAAAACUAUUAAUCUAGAGAUUCAAAGAGGAUAGAGGAAUUCCUGAUGUAGAGGUAAAAUUCGUAAAUAUUAGGAGGAACACAGUGGCGAAGGCGUCUAAUCUGGGUUCAAAUCUUAGCUCAAAGCGCUAAGGCGGGGGGUUGCCGCUGUUAGAUCCAGUUUCCGCUAUGAAACGAUGAUGUUAAAUAUGGGGGAGUUUACUUUCUGUAUUACAACGUAACGCGCUUAAACAUUCCUCCUGGGGACUACGGUAACGGCAAGAUUAAAACUCAAAGGAAUUGACGGGGACCGGCACAAGCGGUGGAGCAUGUGGUUUAAUUCGAUGCAACGCGAAAAACCAUU
RNAcentral lists this ribosomal RNA (870 nucleotides) under Wolbachia endosymbiont of Orseolia oryzae. Its description in RNAcentral is "bacterial SSU rRNA". It matches the Rfam family "Bacterial small subunit ribosomal RNA", at positions 73 to 973 of the family's 1533-position model. Lineage: Bacteria; Pseudomonadati; Pseudomonadota; Alphaproteobacteria; Rickettsiales; Anaplasmataceae. The record is from RNAcentral.